GCGGAUGGCCAGGCGACCGCGGUCCCUUCGGGGGCCGAGGAAAGUCCGGACUCCAUGAAGCGACGGUGCCGGGUAACGCCCGGCCGGGGAAACCCGAGGGAAAGCGCCACAGAGAACAGACCGCCGUGCCUCGGCACGGUAAGGGUGAAACGGUGGGGUAAAAGCCCACCGCGGGACUGGCAACAGGACCGGCACGGCAAGCCCCACCGGGAGCAAUGCCGAAUAGGGACCCCGCGCGGCGCAGGCCGCAGGGCCGCUUCAGCCCAGGGGUCCGGGUUGGCAGCUUGAGCCCGUCGGUAACGUCGGGCCCAGAGGAAUGGUCGCCCAAGGGGUUCGCCCCCGGACAGAAUCCGGCUUACAGGCCGUCCGCGCAC
This 374-nucleotide RNase P RNA is filed under the name Mangrovicoccus sp. RNAcentral's name for it is "RNase P RNA component class A". It matches the Rfam family "Bacterial RNase P class A". From Rfam's summary of the family: Ribonuclease P (RNase P) is a ubiquitous endoribonuclease, found in archaea, bacteria and eukarya as well as chloroplasts and mitochondria. Its best characterised activity is the generation of mature 5'-ends of tRNAs by cleaving the 5'-leader elements of precursor-tRNAs. The record is from RNAcentral. Lineage: Bacteria; Pseudomonadati; Pseudomonadota; Alphaproteobacteria; Rhodobacterales; Paracoccaceae.